Molecule: ribosomal RNA, 445 nt
Filed under: uncultured bacterium
Lineage: Bacteria
Description: partial 16S ribosomal RNA
Rfam family: Bacterial small subunit ribosomal RNA
Source: RNAcentral
GUGAGGAAUAUUGCGCAAUGGAGGCAACUCUGACGCAGCCAUGCCGCGUGCAGGAAGAAGGCGCUACGCGUUGUAAACUGCUUUUAACCGGGAAGAAACCCCAGGACGUGUCCUGGGUUGACGGUACCGGAGGAAUAAGCACCGGCUAACUUCGUGCCAGCAGCCGCGGUAAUACGAAGGGUGCAAGCGUUAUCCGGAUUCAUUGGGUUUAAAGGGUGCGUAGGCUGAGCGUUAAGUCAGUGGUGCAAUCCUGCAGCUUAACUGUAGACUUGCCAUUGAUACUGACGCGCUUGAGUGCGCUUGAAGUGGGCGGAAUGUGCCGUGUAGCGGUGAAAUGCUUAGAUAUGGCACAGAACACCAAUUGCGAAGGCAGCUCACUAAGACGAUACUGACGCUGAGGCACGAAAGCGUGGGGAUCGAACAGGAUUAGAUACCCCGGUAGUCC